Molecule: ribosomal RNA, 317 nt
Filed under: Ipodoryctes sp. CNIN1368
Lineage: Eukaryota; Metazoa; Arthropoda; Insecta; Hymenoptera; Braconidae
Description: partial large subunit ribosomal RNA
Source: RNAcentral
GUUCAGAGUACGUGAAACCGUUCAGGGGUAAACCUGAGAAACCCAAAAGAUCGAAUGGGGAGAUUCAUCGUCAGCUCAUUUUGUAUAUGUAUAAGUUAUGAUGUGGGUUACUACUUGUAGUAUUGCCUAUACAUUCUUAUAUAUUUAGUUGCAAGAUGUUGUCGGCGUGCACUUCUCCCCUAGUAGGACGUCGCGACCCGUUGAGUGUCGGUCUACGGCCCAAAUGGUAGACUUUAAUAUUUUGUAAAAAAUAUAUUAAAGACCUUUGGUGUUUUCUGACCGGCUACUCGGCGGUAUUCGUAUGGUAUUAUGGUAGA